Juglans microcarpa x Juglans regia is the source of this 1112-nucleotide RNA transcript. RefSeq lists it as uncharacterized. The transcript has 5 exons. NCBI's taxonomy places the organism in Eukaryota, Viridiplantae, Streptophyta, Magnoliopsida, Fagales, Juglandaceae. The record is from RefSeq and is a predicted model, not a curated record.
UUUAUUUUCAUCCUCUCCUCGUAUCUCUGUUUGUUUAAUGGGAAAAUCACUUCCUUCGACGACAAGCCUCCAACAAUUGACCAAAAUUAUCACCCUGGCCAGACUCCAAACGCCGAAACGCGUGAAAUCCAUAUCACGGAUCCGGGCAUCGUCCCCAGAGACAGGGAAACCCGGGCUGUUUCGAGUCGACUCAGAGCGAGUAAAAGAGCAAAAGUUGAUGGAGAGCUCAGAGGGGCAGCAGAGUCAAAUUCGGAUGCCGCUGGCCCAGGUCGUCUCGGACUGUGCGAAGCGAUGGUUCCAGGACGCGCUCAAGGAGGCCAAGGCCGGUGAUAGCGCUAUGCAGGUCCUCGUCGGCCAGAUGUACUACAGUGGCUACGGUGUCUCGAGAGACCCUCGAAAGGGACACACUUGGAUUAAUAGAGCUUCAAAAAGUCGGGUUUUAGUUUGGAACAUAAGCGACAAACAACCAGGUUACAAUGCAAGUGACUCAGAUUCGGAUGGAUUGAAGGGUGAUGAAAAAUAAGUCAAAGGUCAUUUUCUGUUGAACGUGCCAGUGGAAACUGAAAACUGAAUUCCUGGGUUGUGACUAGUUCCAAGCUAACCAGGUUUAAUUGACAGUCUAAAGUUAAUGAGGCUGAUGUUGAUCCUAAAUGAAAGUUGCAAAAAUUAUUACACGAUGUGGUGGGUGAAAAUUUUGAAUGGACUUGCUCCGUGUCCAUUGUAGUAACUGCCUACCAUAAUGAGGAUAUAUAAAGUUUACUUUAAAUGCAUAAGAGAGCCCUGACGUAAGUAAAAGCAAGGAAGUCUCUUUACACAAGGAACUCGAGCUCGUCUGGUGAGGGCAAUUUCAUCUACCUAGGCAUCUCCUUUCUCCAUUCCCAUGGCUUCUCAGGAUUUGAUGAGGCCCAGCGGCUAACUCGCUAAUUAGCUCGAGCCUGUUUUUCCCACUGUUGUCAUACAUAAUAGAGCUUUAGGGUAGAGACUAGAGGCUUAAAACUCUGAAAGAACAAGUGAAACAUAUGCAUGGCUUACUCAAAUUACCAUUCAAUUUAGAAUCAUCUCCUAAAGCGACUACAGCUGCUGGGAAUGUCCUGCUAAGAACAUGAUAACGA